Molecule: unclassified non-coding RNA, 353 nt
Filed under: soil metagenome
Description: partial contains 5.8S ribosomal RNA, internal transcribed spacer 2, and large subunit ribosomal RNA
Rfam family: 5.8S ribosomal RNA (bases 1-120)
Source: RNAcentral
GAUGAAGAACGUAGCGAAAUGCGAUAAGUAGUGUGAAUUGCAGAAUUCAGUGAAUCAUCGAAUCUUUGAACGCACAUUGCGCCCGCCAGUAUUCUGGCGGGCAUGCCUGUUCGAGCGUCAUUACAAACCUCAGGCCCCCGGGCCUGGCGUUGGGGAUCGGCGGAAGCCCCCUGCGGGCACAACGCCGUCCCCCAAAUACAGUGGCGGUCCCGCCGCAGCUUCCAUUGCGUAGUAGCUAACACCUCGCAACUGGAGAGCGGCGCGGCCACGCCGUAAAACACCCAACUUCUGAAUGUUGACCUCGAAUCAGGUAGGAAUACCCGCUGAACUUAAGCAUAUCAAUAAGCGGAGGA